GAUGAACGCUGGCGGCGUGCUUAACACAUGCAAGUCGAACGAUGAAGCCCAGCUUGCUGGGUGGAUUAGUGGCGAACGGGUGAGUAACACGUGAGUAACCUGCCCUUAACUCUGGGAUAAGCCUGGGAAACUGGGGCUAAUACCGGAUAGGAGCGUCCACCGCAUGGUGGGUGUUGGAAAGAUUUAUCGGUUUUGGAUGGACUCGCGGCCUAUCAGCUUGUUGGUGAGGUAAUGGCUCACCAAGGCGACGACGGGUAGCCGGCCUGAGAGGGUGACCGGCCACACUGGGACUGAGACACGGCCCAGACUCCUACGGGAGGCAGCAGUGGGGAAUAUUGCACAAUGGGCGCAAGCCUGAUGCAGCGACGCCGCGUGAGGGAUGACGGCCUUCGGGUUGUAAACCUCUUUCAGUAGGGAAGAAGCGAAAGUGACGGUACCUGCAGAAGAAGCACCGGCUAACUACGUG
This 466-nucleotide ribosomal RNA is filed under the name uncultured bacterium. RNAcentral describes it as "partial 16S ribosomal RNA". It matches the Rfam family "Bacterial small subunit ribosomal RNA", at positions 28 to 507 of the family's 1533-position model. The record is from RNAcentral.